This is a microRNA precursor of Ailuropoda melanoleuca (giant panda), 79 nucleotides long. Ensembl annotates it as microRNA 370. The record is from Ensembl. Lineage: Eukaryota; Metazoa; Chordata; Mammalia; Carnivora; Ursidae.
AGACAGAGAGGCCAGGUCACGUCUCUGCAGUUACACAGCUCAUGAGUGCCUGCUGGGGUGGAACCUGGUCUGUCUGUCU